CCUUGAAUGUGAUUUGGAACGACUUCCUAAAUCUCAUUCAUACUCUGGCCAGAGAUUCUUAAUCAUAUCAUAAAGUAUUCUCCCCUAAACGGUUUGAAGGUUAGAGAUCCCUUGUUGCACAUUCACUUGCCUCCAUGGCUAAGUGGCUUAACCCCAACUAUGUCGUGGACACCCUCCUGAUGGAGUGACUUUGACAUAAUCAAAGAUCAAGGACUUAACCACAAGAUAACUAUGAUGCCUCAGGUCAAAGGACUACUUUGCAUUAUCCCAACCAUGAGUUCUCAUGUGACAUGAGUAUGA
Molecule: long non-coding RNA, 300 nt
Filed under: Malus domestica (apple)
Lineage: Eukaryota; Viridiplantae; Streptophyta; Magnoliopsida; Rosales; Rosaceae
Description: long non-coding RNA (MDOM_LNC006701)
Source: RNAcentral